RNAcentral lists this ribosomal RNA (400 nucleotides) under uncultured bacterium. RNAcentral describes it as "bacterial SSU rRNA". It matches the Rfam family "Bacterial small subunit ribosomal RNA", at positions 355 to 748 of the family's 1533-position model. The record is from RNAcentral.
UGGGGAAUCUUGCGCAAUGGGCGAAAGCCUGACGCAGCGACGCCGCGUGGGUGAUGAAGGCCUUCGGGUUGUAAAGCCCUGUGGGGAGGGAAGAAUGAGUCUUGGCCAAUACCCAAGGCGAUGACGGUACCUCCUUAGCAAGCACCGGCUAACUCUGUGCCAGCAGCCGCGGUAAGACAGAGGGUGCGAACGUUGUUCGGAAUUACUGGGCGUAAAGCGCAUGUAGGCGGCCGUGCAGGUCGGGUGUGAAAGCCCUGGGCUCAACCCAGGAAGUGCACUCGAAACCGCGCGGCUCGAGUCCCGGAGAGGAAGGUGGAAUUCUCGGUGUAGAGGUGAAAUUCGUAGAUAUCGGGAGGAACACCGGCGGCGAAAGCGGCCUUCUGGACGAGGACUGACGCUG